CUGAAGGUGACGAUCUCUCCAAACAUCACCAUCAAGCUGAUGCUGUUAACAACACAUUAUUGGAUCCUUUUGAUUCAUACCGGAUGGAUGCAAAUCUAUAUAAUCGCUUUCAGAGGUUUGAUAUUGAUGACGAUGAAGGCACACAGUUGAACUCAAGUCCUCAAGAGCACUCACCAAUCCC
Molecule: long non-coding RNA, 181 nt
Organism: Telopea speciosissima
Lineage: Eukaryota; Viridiplantae; Streptophyta; Magnoliopsida; Proteales; Proteaceae
Exons: 3
Source: RefSeq, a predicted model, not a curated record